This 210-nucleotide small RNA is filed under the name Arabidopsis thaliana (thale cress). RNAcentral's name for it is "ATSL030320". The record is from RNAcentral. Lineage: Eukaryota; Viridiplantae; Streptophyta; Magnoliopsida; Brassicales; Brassicaceae.
AUUUGAUAAUUUUCAGAUUUUUAUAAUGUGUUUUCAAUAUUUCAUGUAGUAGUAUAUAAAUAUAUACCGCUUAAAAUCGGGUAGAUUCCGACUAAGCAUUCUACGCGCUAGGCAGAAUGUCACCGUCCGCUUAUCGUCUAUCGCUUCCUUGGACACUGCUAUUUAUUAAACAAGUAUAUUAGCAAAAAUAUAUAGGAAUUCAUAAAAAAA